This is a non-coding RNA of Heterocephalus glaber (naked mole-rat), 47 nucleotides long. Lineage: Eukaryota; Metazoa; Chordata; Mammalia; Rodentia; Bathyergidae. The record is from Rfam.
CCAAAGGCUCUUUUAAGAGCCACCCAAUUAUUUCAAGGAAAAUAGCU